Long non-coding RNA from Tympanuchus pallidicinctus (lesser prairie-chicken), 941 nucleotides. RefSeq lists it as uncharacterized. The record is from RefSeq and is a predicted model, not a curated record. The transcript is spliced from 3 exons. NCBI's taxonomy places the organism in Eukaryota, Metazoa, Chordata, Aves, Galliformes, Phasianidae.
CCCACUGGUUGCUCUCUAGCAUUAGCUGUACUUGAAAUAAAGAUAGUUGUUGGAUUUUAUGGUGACAGCACAGGAGCUGAGCUCUUUAGAAUUACAGAGCAAGUUACAACAGUCACCAAGAUUGCUAAGUAUUCUGCCAACAGUAGAAUACAAGAAUUGUUAGGGCGCUUAUAAGUCUUGCACCUGUUUAAAGAAGUUACCCUGUCAGCUAUACCAGGGUAGUAAUCACCUGCAGGCUGUGCUGCUCUGGAAGGGAGGAAGAAUUUUUAGCUGCAGGUUGUCCUGCAAAAUACAUAGGAGGCAGCAGGUUGUUUUAAACUGGUUUCUCUACCAGGAAGGAGACAUGGAGCUGCACCUUUCAGAAUUAAUUGCCAGUAUGGUCUAAUCCUGUGUAUUAGUCGUCACAUUACAGGCAUUUAUUUGAAUUAUUUCAUCAAUUGUGAUCCUGUGUAUGUCAUCAGUGUUUUUGGAAAUGUAGCUCCUUUUUGUAUAGGAGGAAAAAAAAAAAAUCAAAGCUUUGUUAUGGUUCUUUCAGGCUGAAUUGUGGGGAGAAUUAGUCUCCUUAUAGGUUAUAUGUUCAUCAGGAAAAUUCUGUGGGAAAUCAAGUAACAACAAUGUUUAGCUUACAGUCAUUUCAAAUAUGAAAGAAAUAAAAUUUUUCAUACAUUGCAGUUGAGAAAGUGCAUUAGGCAAAUAGGAGCCUAGGGUAACCCUAAAUUUGGGGUAAACACUGCAAAGAGCAUGGGCUUAUUUUCUCUACUGGGUUGAUUUGGGAGCACUAUCUGCUUAUUUAUGGACUCUCUUUCAGUGCAGAGCUAAAUCAGAAUGGAAAGCUAAAAAGUUCCAAAAUAGAAUGUGUGAAAUCCCACCUGCAGGCUAAAUUCUUUUAGAAAACAAUUAUUCUAGAGAAACAUUUUCUGUUUCAAUUUUAAAUCUUUCAU